RNAcentral lists this ribosomal RNA (383 nucleotides) under uncultured eukaryote. Its description in RNAcentral is "partial 18S ribosomal RNA". It matches the Rfam family "Eukaryotic small subunit ribosomal RNA", at positions 592 to 976 of the family's 1831-position model. The record is from RNAcentral.
CAAUAGCGUAUAUUAAAGUUGUUGCAGUUAAAAAGCUCGUAGUUGGAUUUCUGGUGGGAGCGAUCGGUCUGGCGCUUAGCGCGAGUACUUGCAUCGUCUCCGGCCAUCCUUGGGGAGAGUCUGUCUGGCAUUAGGUUGUCGGGCAGAGGAUCCUCAUCGUUUACUGUGAAAAAAUUAGAGUGUUCAAAGCAGGCUUAUGCCGUUGAAUAUAUUAGCAUGGAAUAAUAAGAUAGGACUUUGGUACUAUUUUGUUGGUUUGCGCACCAAAGUAAUGAUUAAUAGGGACAGUUGGGGGUAUUCGUAUUCCGUUGUCAGAGUUGAAAUUCUUGGAUUUACGGAAGACGAACUACUGCGAAAGCAUUUACCAAGGAUGUUUUCAUUAA